CCUACGGGUGGCAGCAGUGGGGGAUAUUGCACAAUGGGGGGAACCCUGAUGCAGCGACGCCGCGUGUGUGAAGAAGCCCCUCGGCGCGUAAAGCCCUGUCAGCAGGGAAGAAAAUGACGGUACCUGAAGAAGAAGCCCCGGCUAACUACGUGCCAGCAGCCGCGGUAAUACGUAGGGGGCAAGCGUUAUCCGGCUUUACUGGGUGUAAAGGGGGCGCAGACGGCGAUGCAAGUCAGGAGUGAAAGGCCGGGGCUCAACCCCGGGACUGCAUUUGGAACUGUGCUGCUAGAGUGUCGGAGAGGCAGGCGGAAUUCCUAGUGUAGCGGUGAAAUGCGUAGAUAUUAGGAGGAACACCAGUGGCGAAGGCGGCCUGCUGGACGAUGACUGACGUUGAGGCUCGAAAGCGUGGGGAGCAAACAGGAUUAGAUACCCGAGUAGUC
This 440-nucleotide ribosomal RNA is filed under the name uncultured bacterium. RNAcentral describes it as "partial 16S ribosomal RNA". It matches the Rfam family "Bacterial small subunit ribosomal RNA", at positions 338 to 795 of the family's 1533-position model. The record is from RNAcentral.